GGUGCUCACUCGUCCUUCU
This 19-nucleotide microRNA is filed under the name Bos taurus (domestic cattle). RNAcentral's name for it is "bta-miR-764". Its record names the gene bta-miR-764. The record is from miRBase by way of RNAcentral. Lineage: Eukaryota; Metazoa; Chordata; Mammalia; Artiodactyla; Bovidae.